AACGAACGCUGGCGGCAUGCCUAACACAUGCAAGUCGAACGAAGCCUUCGGGCUUAGUGGCGCACGGGUGCGUAACGCGUGGGAAUCUGCCCCUUGCUUCGGAAUAACAGUUAGAAAUGACUGCUAAUACCGGAUGAAGUCUUCGGACCAAAGAUUUAUCGGCAAGGGAUGAGCCCGCGUAGGAUUAGGUAGUUGGUGGGGUAAAGGCCUACCAAGCCGACGAUCCUUAGCUGGUCUGAGAGGAUGAUCAGCCACACUGGGACUGAGACACGGCCCAGACUCCUACGGGAGGCAGCAGGGGGGAAUAUUGGACAAUGGACGCAAGUCUGAUCCAGCCAUGCCGCGUGAGUGAUGAAGGCCUUAGGGUUGUAAAGCUCUUUUACCAGGGAUGAUAAUGACAGUACCUGGAGAAUAAGCCCCGGCUAACUCCGUG
RNAcentral lists this ribosomal RNA (433 nucleotides) under uncultured bacterium. Its description in RNAcentral is "partial 16S ribosomal RNA". It matches the Rfam family "Bacterial small subunit ribosomal RNA", at positions 29 to 507 of the family's 1533-position model. The record is from RNAcentral.